RNAcentral lists this long non-coding RNA (4907 nucleotides) under Citrus sinensis (sweet orange). RNAcentral's name for it is "long non-coding RNA (CSIN_LNC003016)". The record is from RNAcentral. Lineage: Eukaryota; Viridiplantae; Streptophyta; Magnoliopsida; Sapindales; Rutaceae.
GCAUCCAAAAUUAUCAUUCUUGUCCUCCACAUUUUUAAAUUUUCAGAAUCGCUUCCUGCAAGAGCACAAACUUUAAUCAGAGCUGGUUACUGGGAUUCAGACGAUGGGUUCCCUGUUUCAGAUGUAAAUUCUGCUCUCUUCACUCACCUGAUGUGUGGUUUUGCUGGUGUCAACUCAACUUCCUAUGAGCUUUCUUUAUUACCUUCGGAUGAAAAACAAUUCUCCAACUUCACAGACACAGUCAAAAUAAAGAACCCAUCAAUCACUACACUUCUUUCCAUCGGAGCAGGAAAUUAUCCAAACUAUUCAACUUAUUCUUCCAUGGCGGGCAAUCCUUCUUCCAGGAAAUCCUUUAUUGACUCCUCAAUAAAAAUAGCAAGGCUCUAUGGCUUUCAAGGCUUAGAUCUGUCUUGGUAUUUAGCAAACACAAGCUGGGAUAAGUACAAUAUUGGCAUUCUCUUUAAAGAAUGGCGAGCUGCCGUAGCUUUAGAAGCAAAAAAUAACUCGAGCCAAUCACAGUUGAUUUUGACGGCAACGGUUGCAUAUUCACCAUACUCAACAGCAGCAGCUUAUCCAGUCGACUCGAUAAGACAGUACUUGAAUUGGGUCCAUGUUUUCACUACUGAUUACUCAGUCCCUACGUGGACAAAUUUUACUGGUGCUCAUGCGGCUCUGUAUGAUCCAAAUAGUGUCUCUAAUACUGAAUACGGAAUCACGAAAUGGAUUGAGGAAGGGUUAUCGGCUGAUAAAUUGGUUUUGUGUUUGCCUUUCUAUGGCUAUGCAUGGACGCUUGUGAAACCUGAGGACAAUGGUAUUGGUGCAGCAGCAACGGGACCAGCUUUGAGUGAAGAUGGUCUUGUGAGUUAUAAGGAAAUCAAGAAUCACAUCAAGAGCUAUGGUCCUAAUGUCCAAGUUAUGUACAAUUCAACUUAUGUGGUGAAUUACUGCUCGAUUGGGAAGAUUUGGUUUGGUUUUGAUGAUGUGGAGGCCAUUAGAGUGAAGGUUGCAUAUGCCAAGGAGAAGAAGCUACGUGGUUACCAUGUGUGGCUAGUUUCCUAUGAUCAAUAUUGGAUGCUUUCUCAAGCUGCAGGUGUUUAUAUAUGCAAUAAUUGUUCUGUCUAAUAAAUAUUGAUUUUUAUGGCAUCUCUUGCUAGUUAGUAAUAAUAGUUAGUAAUAAUUGGUGAAUUAUUAUUUCCAGCACAAAAAGACAGCAUUACUUCUGCUUCAGCUGAUAAAGAUGAACAUAGUAACAACCGGCGUCUGUCCUUUGCACUCAUUUCCACUGCAGCGGCAGCUUUGACUCUCCUUCUAGGCUGUUGUGCAUAUAAAUACAACCAGAUGAAAAGGCUCAAGUUAAUAGAAGGUAACAAGCUUCAGCUAUCAAUUAUCAUUAAGCACACACACACACAUAUAUAACUGAGGCUGACAUACAAUUAAUUAUCUAAUAUUUACUUGGUUGAUGUUAGGAACAGAGGAUUCUGCUAAAGCAUCAAACACGAGAGCAAAUAAUGAAACAGAAGCUGGAGACUUUAACAGAAAUGUUCCUAAUCUCAGAGUAUAUAGUUUGGCUGAUAUUGAGGCGGCCACCGAGGGAUUUUCAAUUAGAAAUAAGCUUGGGGAGGGUGGAUAUGGUCCUGUUUACAAGGUAACAUGUGUGUGUGUGUGUGUGUGUGUGUGUGUACCUAUAUUUUAAUUUGUUACAAUCCACAAUGCUGCAAUUUGGAUCCUAUCGGAAGUUUGAAUUUGUACACUCGUCGUAGAAUUCAGAGGCCCAAAACAUAUAAUUUAAAAAUCUAUGCCUAUUAGAGAUAAGACCUCUAACCUCACACUAGAGGGAUAUAACUACUUCGACUAACAUUUUAGGAAGAUACCUCUACCCAUAUCCAUAUUCUGUGAGAGGAGAUUUACAUUUUGCGUCGAUGGAGACUUAAAGGACUUAAAAUGGUGCCCUCAACUUUUGGGGGUAACAUAUUGUUUGGCUAACAUUUCUCAGCUUCUCUAAUUAGUGAAAGCUUUAUAUGAACGUGGUUUUUUUUUUGGGUUGCAGGGUGUAUUACCCUGUGGAGAGGUGAUAGCAGUGAAGAAACUUUCGAAAUCAUCCGCACAGGGAUUUGAGGAGUUUAAGAACGAGGUUAUGCUUACUGCAAAACUCCAACAUGUAAAUCUUAUUAGAGUUUUAGGUUUUUGCAUUGACAGUGAGGAACGAAUGCUGGUCUACGAAUACAUGCCAAACAAAAGCUUGGAUUGCUACCUUUUUGGUUUGUUCUGAAAUCAAGUUAAUAUCAAUUGUGUAUAUAAUUCAUUUGUAUAUCACUUAUUGCCCAAAACUUUAUAUUUGUUGUAGAUCCCAUCAGAAGACUUCUUUUGGAUUGGAAUAAACGUGUUCAUAUCAUUGAAGGGAUAACUCAAGGGCUUUUAUAGCUCCAAGAAUACUCAAGAUUGACUAUUAUUCAUCGAGACUUGAAAGCCAAUAAUAUUUUGUUAGGUCAAGAUAUGAAACCUAAAAUUUCAGAUUUUGGUAUGGCUAGAAUUUUUACAAAAGAGAGUCUCGAAGCGAAUACAGAACAAGUUGUGGGAACAAUGUAAGUAUAUUACAUCUAAAUGAUAUCCUUUACUCAAGCUUCUGUUUGUUAUACAUAUAUUGGGUUUCGAAUAAGGAAUCCAGCUCUUUAAUAAAAUGCAGGAUGGACUUUUAUCACAAGGUAAAAUGGGUUUUACAAAUUUAUUAAAUUGCAAAAUCCCUUACUUAUAUAUACUUACUUAUUUUUGGUUAUUUUGAAUGCAGAGGCUAUAUUUCUCCUGAAUACGCCAGAGGAUAGAAAUUCCCCUUGUAAAUUAAUGAGAUGUCUGGAAAUAGCUUUGUUGUGUGUCCAGGAGAAUCCAAACGAUAGACCUUCAAUGCUGGAAGUUUCCUCAAUGCUCAAGAAUGAAACCACAAAUACAAAUACUCCCAGGAAGCCUGCUUUCUCAAAACAAGUUGAUGAAAUUGGGAUUGAACUAUUAUCUACAACACAAUUGGAAAAAUGUUCGGCUUGUGAUUUAUCAUUUUCGGAAGUGGUAGCUAGAUGAUUGUUAAUGUACACUAAUUAUGGAGCCACUUUUACAACCCUGUACAUAGUUUUUAUUUCAUCAUAAAAAUGCACCCUCGUUUAGUGUAAUUAAGUGUACACUUUGUUUUUAAACCCUUGUGCAUGCAAUCCUAAAAAUCUUGUAGCAGUCGAAAUCAAUCUCUCUUAAUCCUGUAUAUUAUGUGCUAUCAAUAUUAAUAUUAAACUGUUAAAAACGCAGGUCUCACAAAAAAUUAUAAAAAAUUUAGUACAAUUCAAUUCAACACUGAAUUUUAAAAUUUUACGUAUGUAGAAUGUAUACAUAAUAAAUUCACUUUAAUUAAUUAAGUAAAAUGAAAAACGAUUGUAAAUUAAUAGAAUUAAACAAAUUCUAGAUAGGAAAUGAUUUUUAAGAAACAUUAUUUAACUGACCAUUAAUUUGAGUUUGGAUUUUGGAGGAGUCAAAGGGCUAAAAAAUGAAUUUGCACUUUACCAACUCCAUACAUUUUAAGAAAGUAUAUUGAAAAAAAAAUUAUUUGUUCAAUAAUUAUUUGAUUUUCUCAUUAAAGUAAAAUAUAUGCUACAAAUUUGGUGAAGCCGAAUCCCACCAAGUAUACGAGAGUGGUACUAGAUCGGCAAUCGUACUCGCGCCAUUUGUUUCUAAGUAAAUAUUGAGUAAAACGUAUGUUUGUAUAGACUUUUAUGAUAAAAUGGAAGGGUGGACUGGACUGGAAAUUAAAUUACACAAGGAAAAGGUAUGUGGAUCUUUUUUUUAAAAAAAAAAUUACAAUAUUAUUGAAUCUUACCAUCAGGAAGUAACUAAGUGUAUUUCUUAAUGACCAUCACUUUAUUAAGUUGAUGGCUUAAUUAAGGCAACACUCAAUUCAAUGACAAGCUGUAAUUUAAAAAAGUGAGGUCAACUCGAUAUUUUAUAUAGUAUGUCAUGAGUGAGGAGGAGUUUAAGCUAGAAAUCGAGUUCAUGAGUGAGGGCGGGUUUGAUUUUCGCAAGAUUUUGCGUUUUGUGCACGUUGAUCAUGGACUGAAUCAACUUAGAAAAUAUUUUCACAAGAUUUUGCCUUCCAAUUGCAUGGAUGGAGUCAUAGAGGAAUAAUGACUUCGCUUCAAAAACUCGUCGAGGACUCCGAGUUCAUUUAAAUACCAACAAAGUCAAUACAAAAGAACGAGUCUCCAACUUCAGAAGUCAAGCUAAGCGGAGGUAAAAAGUCAUAGCUUAAUUUAAGAACUUCAAUCUUAUCACUUAUUAUCGUGAAAAAAAGACAAAGCUAAUAGAUCGACUUGGUCGUGAUAAAGCGAUAGAACAAGUAUGUCACAUUGGCUAAGAUUAAUUAUUAAGUUAGGUUGGAAGGUAUUAUAGGGUCCCUCAUUCAGAACUUGAAUUUGAUAUCGUAUAAAAACUUGUGGACUAAGCUCAUAAGUUGAAAGUUGACUCAAGUUUGCAUUAUUAGUGCAAUAACUAAUCUCAAUCGGUAUAGGAUAAUUUCUCCAUUACAUUUUGUGUGUGUGUACAAAUAUAUAAUCACAUACUAGGUAUGCCUCAAGCAGCCAGGUUCCCACAAUGGCAUCCAAAAUUAUCAUUCUUGUCCUCCACAUUUUUAAAUUUUCAGAAUCGCUUCCUGCAAGAGCACAAACUUUAAUCAGAGCUGGUUACUGGGAUUCAGGCGGUGGGUUCCCUGUAUCAGAUGUAAAUUCUGCUCUCUUCACUCACCUUAUGUGUGGUUUUGCUGAUGUCAACUCAACUUCCUACGAGCUCUCUUUAUCACCUUCGGAUGAAAAACAAUUCUCCAACUUCACGCACACAGUCAAAAUAAAGAACCCAUCAAUCACUACACUUCUCUCCAU